GAGUUUGAUUCUGGCUCAGGAUGAACGCUGGCGGCGUGCUUAACACAUGCAAGUCGAACGGGCGGAUUAUAUCGGAGGUCUUCGGGCCGAAGAGAUAAUAAGCUAGUGGCGGACGGGUGCGUAACGUAUGGGUAAUCUGCCUUUGUCAUAGGAAUAACUGCUUGAAAAAGUAGCUAAUACCAAAUAACAUAUCGUAUAGGCAUCUAUAAGAUAUCAAAGAGAAAUCGGACAAAGAUGAGCCCGCAUCUGAUUAGCUGGUUGGUAGGGUAAAAGCCUACCAAGGCGACGAUCAGUAGCCGGCCUGAGAGGGUGAGCGGCCACAUUGGAACUGAGACACGGUCCAAACUCCUACGGGAGGCAGCAGUGGGGAAUAUUGCACAAUGGGGGGAACCCUGAUGCAGCAACGCCGCGUGAGUGAAGAAGGCUUUCGAGUCGUAAAACUCUGUUGUAAGGGAAGAUAAUGACG
Molecule: ribosomal RNA, 466 nt
Filed under: Filifactor villosus
Lineage: Bacteria; Bacillati; Bacillota; Clostridia; Peptostreptococcales; Filifactoraceae
Description: bacterial SSU rRNA
Rfam family: Bacterial small subunit ribosomal RNA
Source: RNAcentral